RNAcentral lists this ribosomal RNA (1463 nucleotides) under Staphylococcus aureus. Its description in RNAcentral is "partial 23S ribosomal RNA". It matches the Rfam family "Bacterial large subunit ribosomal RNA", at positions 1462 to 2925 of the family's 2925-position model. The record is from RNAcentral. Lineage: Bacteria; Bacillati; Bacillota; Bacilli; Caryophanales; Staphylococcaceae. RNAcentral also lists the same sequence under 1 other name.
CGAUGGGGGGACGCAGUAGGAUAGGCGAAGCGUGCGAUUGGAUUGCACGUCUAAGCAGUAAGGCUGAGUAUUAGGCAAAUCCGGUACUCGUUAAGGCUGAGCUGUGAUGGGGAGAAGACAUUGUGUCUUCGAGUCGUUGAUUUCACACUGCCGAGAAAAGCCUCUAGAUAGAAAAUAGGUGCCCGUACCGCAAACCGACACAGGUAGUCAAGAUGAGAAUUCUAAGGUGAGCGAGCGAACUCUCGUUAAGGAACUCGGCAAAAUGACCCCGUAACUUCGGGAGAAGGGGUGCUCUUUAGGGUUAACGCCCAGAAGAGCCGCAGUGAAUAGGCCCAAGCGACUGUUUAUCAAAAACACAGGUCUCUGCUAAACCGUAAGGUGAUGUAUAGGGGCUGACGCCUGCCCGGUGCUGGAAGGUUAAGAGGAGUGGUUAGCUUCUGCGAAGCUACGAAUCGAAGCCCCAGUAAACGGCGGCCGUAACUAUAACGGUCCUAAGGUAGCGAAAUUCCUUGUCGGGUAAGUUCCGACCCGCACGAAAGGCGUAACGAUUUGGGCACUGUCUCAACGAGAGACUCGGUGAAAUCAUAGUACCUGUGAAGAUGCAGGUUACCCGCGACAGGACGGAAAGACCCCGUGGAGCUUUACUGUAGCCUGAUAUUGAAAUUCGGCACAGCUUGUACAGGAUAGGUAGGAGCCUUUGAAACGUGAGCGCUAGCUUACGUGGAGGCGCUGGUGGGAUACUACCCUAGCUGUGUUGGCUUUCUAACCCGCACCACUUAUCGUGGUGGGAGACAGUGUCAGGCGGGCAGUUUGACUGGGGCGGUCGCCUCCUAAAAGGUAACGGAGGCGCUCAAAGGUUCCCUCAGAAUGGUUGGAAAUCAUUCAUAGAGUGUAAAGGCAUAAGGGAGCUUGACUGCGAGACCUACAAGUCGAGCAGGGUCGAAAGACGGACUUAGUGAUCCGGUGGUUCCGCAUGGAAGGGCCAUCGCUCAACGGAUAAAAGCUACCCCGGGGAUAACAGGCUUAUCUCCCCCAAGAGUUCACAUCGACGGGGAGGUUUGGCACCUCGAUGUCGGCUCAUCGCAUCCUGGGGCUGUAGUCGGUCCCAAGGGUUGGGCUGUUCGCCCAUUAAAGCGGUACGCGAGCUGGGUUCAGAACGUCGUGAGACAGUUCGGUCCCUAUCCGUCGUGGGCGUAGGAAAUUUGAGAGGAGCUGUCCUUAGUACGAGAGGACCGGGAUGGACAUACCUCUGGUGUACCAGUUGUCGUGCCAACGGCAUAGCUGGGUAGCUAUGUGUGGACGGGAUAAGUGCUGAAAGCAUCUAAGCAUGAAGCCCCCCUCAAGAUGAGAUUUCCCAACUUCGGUUAUAAGAUCCCUCAAAGAUGAUGAGGUUAAUAGGUUCGAGGUGGAAGCAUGGUGACAUGUGGAGCUGACGAAUACUAAUCGAUCGAAGACUUAAUCAA